UAACUUACCUGAACGGAGUCUUUACGGGUGAUCAAGUAUACAUGUGGCCCAGACUAGCGACCUUCAUUGCAGGUUGAAGGGGCGCUGGUAUACCAUCUGCCUAAGUGGUAGAGUGGACGUCAUAAUUUGUGGUAGGGGGGUUCGAGUACGCGCAACCCCUAU
This is a small nuclear RNA of Dendrobium catenatum, 162 nucleotides long. RefSeq annotates it as U1 spliceosomal RNA. NCBI's taxonomy places the organism in Eukaryota, Viridiplantae, Streptophyta, Magnoliopsida, Asparagales, Orchidaceae. The record is from RefSeq and is a predicted model, not a curated record. The transcript has a single exon.